AGGCAUUUUGUAGAGUCCAAAUAUUUUGGUUAGAUGACUAAGAUGAUGAGCUAACUGUUGUAAAUUGUUUAAAUAAACAACAAAUUAUGAAAUUAGAGAACAGAGAUUGUACUCACUUUUUCGAGUUCGAAAAUUUCGAAUCUAAACAAAUUACAAAAAAAUGGAAAAAAAAAUAAUCAAAAUUGGGAAACUUCAGGUUAAGAGAGUGAUGAGAGCACAUAUCUGUAUGAUUGAUGAAAUCUUCCCUAUUAGUUUCACCAAAUGUGACCAUAUUUGCAGAUUUAUACAACGCAGUGAAGUGCUGAAAUUUCACUUCGAAUUGAGCUCUAUACAUCUCCAUCCAUGGGAAUGAAUGUACAUGAACUGAAAUUUAUAUUCUCCAGAUAUUGAAACUUGUGUUUGGAGAAGCAGUUUAUCAUUCUGAGUCAAUGCUAAUCAUCAUCAGAGGGUACCUGUCUUGCUUCAGACUAAGAUAGUCUUCUGUUAUUUGUAGAGCUUGCUUCCACAAGCCCUUUACCAGGCAAACUUGAUACACCAGUUCCUGAUGAUGAAGCCAAAAAACGACGAACUUCUGGUGCAUCCCCUGAUGAUGACGCAGCAAGAUUGUAUGUGUAAACCCUCAUUGGGUGGUCAAACUUGCAACUUGGACCAAACUUGCAGAUUCCAUAUUUAGAAUAGAAAAGACACACAGCCUCUCCCUAAAACCAACAAGGAAAAAAGUGUAAAAAAGAAAUUCUCAGUUGAUAUCUUUGAAAUAACCUAGGUAAAGGAAAGGUUAGCUAUAGUAACACGUCUCUUUCUCCUUCCUCUUAUUCUUUCCUCAUUAAUCUUUCAUCCUUUUUAUGAUUUCCAACUUUCGAAUAAUGUCAAACUAUGUUUCAAAGAUGUGAUACGUCUACAAAAUGUUGAACAACAUAAUUACAAAUGCCUGCUGAAACUAAAUAAAUCAAAUAUUCUAAACAGAAAAAUGCCUCUGAUAAUCAUUAUGUAUCCACAAAAAAGUAUAAUCAAAUUUUUAUUUUUCAUUCCAUACUCUUCAUGCAAAUUUAUAAAUUUGACCACAAAUGGCCAUACCAAGAAACUACUCAGAAUACCAUCCAAUUAGGGGCUAUUUCCUUUAGCUCGUGUGAUGAGGACAUCCUUUAUAGUUGGACUUUUAUUAUUAUUCCAGUAUUUUAGUUGGACUUUUAUUAUUGUUUCAGUUGGACUUUUAUUUAAGUUUACGUAUUUUAAUUAGGACUUAAAUAAUGGGCUUGGCCCUAUAUUUCUAGGUUUUCAUUAUUUAAACCUAUCAUUGAUUUGUAAUUUCUCAGUUGAUGAAUUUUGAUUAAAUAAAAGACUUGGCUUGCAGCCGUAUUCUCCUCUCUUCUCCGGCUCCUCCCUCCCCCCCCUUCUUCUUUCUCUGUUAUUGAUACUACAUCAAAUUGGUAUCAGAGCAAACCCUGGACAGCAAUUCACGCACCAUCAAUACAAAACCCGUUGCUGCAGACGCUACAAAACUUGCUACAACCAACCAGUUUUGUUUCAGCUUCAACUACAUACAAACUUACAGAACCCAGUUCUCGUUUCAGCAGAAUCCAGUUUCACGCCUCCACCGCUUCUGCAUAUGUUCCCGUCCACUGCACUUCACAAAAAUCAACGGCAACUGCAAAUCCCCAGCAACGACCAUUGAACCCCUCACACCAUAUUCCCCACCACGACCGCCGCUGAAAUUCUCCAAACCAACUUUACAGACAGCAACCAAAAACGUUUAAUUCCAGAAAAAUUCAUUAACCUUGCGACGCGACACCCACACCCGCAGUCGACCAACACAUCACCUUCAUCCAAAACCAGAACACGGAAUCAUCUCCCCACUGAAAGCUGCCUGCGAACUGCUCGGUCUUACAGAAACGGCACCCCAGUCUCGCCGCCGCCAACAAUCGCCAGCAAACUGCCGGCUGUACCAGUAAUCGCCGGCCAAGCCCAACGCCGUUGAGAUGUUCCUCGUCGGCCAGUCCAGUCGCCGACUUCUGCAGCCUUCAGUCGCCGACGUGUUGUAAUGAAUUAUGGGGUUAAUUGGUUUAUUAAUUAAGGGGUUGGGUAUUAGUUAUCAAUUGGGUUUUGGAUUAAUUGGUUGAAUAAUUAAGUGGGUUGGGUUAUUAGUUAUCAAUUGGGAUUGGGAUUGGGCUUGAUUGAGAUUUUGAUUGUACUUUAGGCCCAAAUUUGUGAAAUGGGC
This 2215-nucleotide long non-coding RNA is filed under the name Olea europaea subsp. europaea. Lineage: Eukaryota; Viridiplantae; Streptophyta; Magnoliopsida; Lamiales; Oleaceae. The record is from RNAcentral.